Molecule: long non-coding RNA, 564 nt
Organism: Priapulus caudatus
Lineage: Eukaryota; Metazoa; Priapulida; Priapulimorpha; Priapulimorphida; Priapulidae
Exons: 3
Source: RefSeq, a predicted model, not a curated record
CUUUCCAUGACGUCAAAAGACGAGAUAUUCGAACAUGGUGAAACCAUUGACCCGCUAAGGAUCACCGUACAAGAUCUUGUCGUGAGUGGUCAAGGGGACACAGUGGUCACCAUCCUGAUAGAUCUGAAUGGGUUCUGGAUGUACGAGAAUCGUGAAGUACUGGUCAACGAACCUUCCGAACCAACCCCAAGCGGUUGACAUGUUCUACACUAGAUGGCGCUCACAGUUGAACUACGAGGAAAACCAGUGAUCAGGUUUUCAUUCAAACUCCACGACAGAUGGCGCUCUCGCUCUGGCUCAAUUCUACGUAUAUUCUGGUAUAUCCUGAGUGUGGGAAGGGGGCGCUGCAUGCAGUUUGGUUUUCAUUGUACAGAUAAGAGUACUGUUGUUGUUUCAUGCUUGUAUCUCCAGUACAUAAAUGCUGGAUGGGCUCGAGAAGUCGUUUCACUCGUUCUAUGUGUGCACGGCCGUGCGAAAGUUCUUCUUCUUCUUGGAUCCGAUGCGAACGGGCCGAGUGAAGAUACAAGACAUCCUUGUGUGCAGCUUCCUUGACGACCUGCUUGA